GGGGGAUUAGCUCAGUGGUAGAGCGCGUUUUAUCGAAACGAAGUCGGCAGUUCGAACCUGCCAUCCUCCU
This 70-nucleotide transfer RNA is filed under the name Parabacteroides faecis. RNAcentral's name for it is "tRNA-Asp". It matches the Rfam family "tRNA". Rfam says of the family: Transfer RNA (tRNA) molecules are approximately 80 nucleotides in length. RNAcentral also lists the same sequence under 1 other name. Lineage: Bacteria; Pseudomonadati; Bacteroidota; Bacteroidia; Bacteroidales; Tannerellaceae. The record is from RNAcentral.